CCCGGAGACAAGACGAUGGUCAUAAAUCCCUCGCCGCCAUUCCGACGUGUCCUCGUUUGGAGUACGUCUCAAAGGAUGUUAUGCCGUGACCCCCCUGAGGAUGAAUCGAGAGUGUGGAGGCUCUUCGGUGCAUCCUGAUGCUAACAAAAUCCCGCUUCACUCUUCCACUGGCUGUUGGCAUCCCCGCCCCCUCCCGGCAGGAAAAAUAAACUUGACCCCUGGCAUCCGGGCGCGACGUGACCUCUGAACCCCCCACUUCCCCCCCCCCUCCUCUCCGACGAGGCCUGGGCGCAAUGAGUCUCCUCAUUCCAUCCAUCGCGCUUCCUCCUCGAGGAAUUCCUCAAAUGUUCUCGGAGGCAAGCGGGCGCACGCCGCGCGUUUCAGGUCAGUGGGCCGCCCCUCAACCGCUUCGCCGGCGAAUGCCGCGCCUUUUUUUUUUCGUGUCUAUUCGCAAUCGCCGCACGGCGGCGCCUUGAGAUAAAAGUUCAGCCGACUUUGGGGUAUUUUGCGAGACGGUUCGGCGUCGAGGCUUCCGCUUCUUUUUUGCUACAGUCUCCCAUGACUUACCUGCGUUUAGCUUAAUGCUAACAAACAAUGCAAAAGGCCAUAGACAGGCUAACGGAUUGUUAUGAGGCUUUCGGCAACGCAGACUCGUAAGCGGCGUCAGCGGGUUGGAACAUAGUGACGGAAUGAC
Long non-coding RNA from Hippocampus zosterae (dwarf seahorse), 694 nucleotides. RefSeq lists it as uncharacterized. The transcript has 3 exons. The record is from RefSeq and is a predicted model, not a curated record. Lineage: Eukaryota; Metazoa; Chordata; Actinopteri; Syngnathiformes; Syngnathidae.